UAGUUCAAGAGACAAGGUUCUUGUAAAGAGAAGAUGCUUCUCCCAUGGGACUGUUGUUGAAGAAACCCUUGCACACACAGUAAGCUUGUGGUACACAGCAGACUUUGCCUUUGUGUCUAGUGUCUCAAAGCGAACCGUGCAUGGACAUUUCACACAGGGGCCCAUCCUGCUCGUGAAUUUGCUCAUCAGAAAGAAGUUGUAUCCAGUUUGGAUGGCCAUAGUUGACCACGAGUCCCUGUGGUUUUGUGGAGCAUUUUCGGGCUCUAUGCCCAGGAGUGGUAUGGUUGAGUGUUGAGUUAGAACUAGUCCCAAUUUUCUAAGAAAUAGCCAAAUUGAUUUCCAAAGUGGUUGUGUAAGUUUGCACUCCCAUCAGUAAUGAUGGAGUGUCCCCCUUGCUCCAGAUCCUCCUCCUCGGCAUAAACGGUCACUUGAGUUUUUGAUCUUAGCCCUUCUGACCGGGGUUAGAUGGAAUUCAGAGUCAUUUUGAUUUGUGUUUCCCUAAUGACUAAGGAUGUAGAACAUUUAUUUCUUUAAAUGCUUCUUAGCCAUUAGAGAUUCCUCUGUUGAGAAUUUUGGCUAUCUGGCUCUGUACCCCAUGUGGGUCCCCAAAGCAAUUAUGGUGGGGCUGUCUCUGACUGUUGACUGCCUUUGGAUCCCUCUCCCCUAACUGGGCUACCUUGCUGGUCUCAGUGGGAAAGGAUUCACCUAGUUCUGACGUGC
RNAcentral lists this long non-coding RNA (720 nucleotides) under Rattus norvegicus (Norway rat). RNAcentral describes it as "long non-coding RNA NONRATT032106". The record is from RNAcentral. Lineage: Eukaryota; Metazoa; Chordata; Mammalia; Rodentia; Muridae.